Molecule: transfer RNA, 69 nt
Filed under: Nesolagus timminsi (Annamite striped rabbit)
Lineage: Eukaryota; Metazoa; Chordata; Mammalia; Lagomorpha; Leporidae
Description: tRNA-Cys
Rfam family: tRNA
About the family: Transfer RNA (tRNA) molecules are approximately 80 nucleotides in length. Their secondary structure includes four short double-helical elements and three loops (D, anti-codon, and T loops). Further hydrogen bonds mediate the characteristic L-shaped molecular structure. tRNAs have two regions of fundamental functional importance: the anti-codon, which is responsible for specific mRNA codon recognition, and the 3' end, to which the tRNAs corresponding amino acid is attached (by aminoacyl-tRNA synthetases). tRNAs cope with the degeneracy of the genetic code in two manners: having more than one tRNA (with a specific anti-codon) for a particular amino acid; and 'wobble' base-pairing, i.e. permitting non-standard base-pairing at the 3rd anti-codon position.
Source: RNAcentral
AGUCCUGAGGUGAAACAUGACAUGUUGAAUUGCAAAUUCAAAGAAGCAGCUUCAAUUCUGCCGGGACUU